AAAGUUUACAGACUAUCAUCAUUACUACAACUUUGGUUCCUCUUCUCAACUUCAGAGGGGCCACACCAGGAACAGGACAAACCAAUCAAUGUUCACACUCUCACAAUUAACCUCAAAAAGCAUUUUAACGUCAAAGUAAUGGUUCCAAAUGUGAUAACCAACACAGGCCUUAGUGGAAGGAGUCCACCAUUUUGAGCCUGCCAACUCCAUUUGCUUUUGUAUCUCGCUUCUAUUUACUUUUUGUCAGUAGGAUUGCCAUCAUUUACUAUUUGAGCUUCUGGCAACUCAGACCCUCUGAUCAUGCACAGACUGCAUUCCCCUGCCUGCCACAGCCAUCUUGGCACCGGCGAUGUUUCAGGGUCACUUCACAAGGCACCACCACCAUGAGCCGCCGACAUAAAGCUCAUUUUCACAGAGGUCACCGUGUAGAGGAAAACGCAGCGUGUGGACUUGCCUUCAGCUCCUGGACUUCUCCUGGCUAGCCUUGCUCCUCAGAUCUGCGUCUUCCAGUGUACCCUGUCAAGCCCUACUCAGUACUGUAUCCUCAGAACCAAACAAUGAAAUGGAAGCAGAAUCCACCUUCAGACAGCUAUUCCCUUAUCUACCACGAACCAAACUGGUUAAAAAAAAAUUUUUUUUUUCCUUCUAAGACUUAGACAGGUCAGUAGAAGUGCAAGGUUAAGUCAAUAUCUGGAACAAUAAAUUGCUUUGUGCAUAAUGGAAA
Molecule: long non-coding RNA, 724 nt
Organism: Rhineura floridana
Lineage: Eukaryota; Metazoa; Chordata; Lepidosauria; Squamata; Rhineuridae
Exons: 2
Source: RefSeq, a predicted model, not a curated record